This 73-nucleotide small RNA is filed under the name Sinorhizobium meliloti 2011. RNAcentral describes it as "putative ncRNA". Lineage: Bacteria; Pseudomonadati; Pseudomonadota; Alphaproteobacteria; Hyphomicrobiales; Rhizobiaceae. The record is from RNAcentral.
AUGAGCUCGUCGAACUCGUUGAUGCCGGCGAUCGAAUAGCCCUGGCCGCCGAGGAUCGAGCGGCCGGACCGGC